CUUUCACAACCCAGCCCGGCCACAGAGAGCGGCCCUGAGCAGCGGAGUUUGGAAGGCCCGGCGCAUGUGGGCAUACAGGGCUGUUGGAAAAAGGAGGAAAUGGCUGGAUCUGUGGCAACCCUCUUGGACCACAGGAGGUCCCUGGAGUGGAAGCCACUAAG
Long non-coding RNA from Chinchilla lanigera (long-tailed chinchilla), 161 nucleotides. RefSeq lists it as uncharacterized. NCBI's taxonomy places the organism in Eukaryota, Metazoa, Chordata, Mammalia, Rodentia, Chinchillidae. The record is from RefSeq and is a predicted model, not a curated record. The transcript is spliced from 2 exons.